This 235-nucleotide ribosomal RNA is filed under the name Graphis betulina. RNAcentral describes it as "partial 28S large subunit ribosomal RNA". It matches the Rfam family "Eukaryotic large subunit ribosomal RNA", at positions 251 to 492 of the family's 3401-position model. Lineage: Eukaryota; Fungi; Ascomycota; Lecanoromycetes; Ostropales; Graphidaceae. The record is from RNAcentral.
AUCCUUUCGACGAGUCGAGUUGUUUGGGAAUGCAGCUCUAAAUGGGUGGUNAAUUUCAUCUAAAGCUAAAUACCUGCCAGAGACCGAUAGCGCACAAGUAGAGUGAUCGAAAGAUGAAAAGCACUUUGAAAAGAGAGUCAAACAGUACGUGAAAUUGUUGAAAGGUAAACGCUUGCAAUCAGACUCGUUUGCAGAAGCUCAGCCUUCCUUCGGGACGGUGUACUCUUCUGUCAAC